GGAAGCGGCUGGGCGGGCAGCCCUCCUCCCGCCAUUGGUGGGCGCCCCUCUCUCCCGGGGAGCCCGAGGAGGCGCCGAUUGGCUGCCGGCGCUUGUCAGUCGGCGAGGGCCGAGUUCCAUUGUUGGCUGGGCGUGCGGCGUGAAUCGCUGCUGCUGCUGCUGCCGCGGCGGCUGGUGCAGCUGCGGGGAGAGCGGGGCUGGCGGCGCGGCGGCGGCGGAGGGAGAAGGGAUGCUGGCGGAAUGGGCGGCCGGGCAGGAAAGCGGCGAGCGGGAGCCGGAACUCCGCUGAGAAGCGUCCGCGCUGCUGCUGCCAGUCAAGGGAAGGACGUGAGCCGAGCCCCGCCGGAGCACUCAUCACCAGUCUAAGAGUGGAAACACAUACUCAGAA
Molecule: long non-coding RNA, 388 nt
Filed under: Podarcis muralis (Common wall lizard)
Lineage: Eukaryota; Metazoa; Chordata; Lepidosauria; Squamata; Lacertidae
Description: lncRNA (ENSPMRG00000015721.1)
Source: RNAcentral